GAUGAAGAACGCAGCGAAAUGCGAUAAGUAAUGUGAAUUGCAGAACUCAGUGAAUCAUCGAGUCUUUGAACGCACAUUGCGCCCCCUGGUAUUCCGGGGGGCAUGCCUGUCCGAGCGUCAUUGCUGCCCUCAAGCACGGCUUGUGUGUUGGGCCCCGCCCCCCGGCUCCCGGGGGGCGGGCCCGAAAGGCAGCGGCGGCACCGCGUCCGGUCCUCGAGCGUAUGGGGCUUCGUCACCCGCUCCGUAGGCCCGGCCGGCGCCCGCCGGCGACCCCCCUCAAUCUUUUCAGGUUGACCUCGGAUCAGGUAGGGAUACCCGCUGAACUUAAGCAUAUCAAUAAGCGGAGGA
RNAcentral lists this unclassified non-coding RNA (348 nucleotides) under soil metagenome. Its description in RNAcentral is "partial contains 5.8S ribosomal RNA, internal transcribed spacer 2, and large subunit ribosomal RNA". The stretch from base 1 to 120 matches the Rfam family "5.8S ribosomal RNA", at positions 35 to 154 of the family's 154-position model. The record is from RNAcentral.